RNAcentral lists this transfer RNA (61 nucleotides) under Rhipicephalus punctatus. RNAcentral describes it as "tRNA-Ala". Lineage: Eukaryota; Metazoa; Arthropoda; Arachnida; Ixodida; Ixodidae. The record is from RNAcentral.
AGAAAAGUAUUUAAAAUAAUAAAUUCUAAUUUGCAUUUAGACAUUGGUUUACCCUUUUCUG